CCUACGGGAGGCAGCAGUGGGGAAUAUUGGGCAAUGGAGGCAACUCUGACCCAGCAACGCCGCGUGAAUGAUGAAGUAUUUCGGUAUGUAAAGCUCUAUCAGCAGGGAAGAAAAUGACGGUACCUGACUAAGAAGCCCCGGCUAACUACGUGCCAGCAGCCGCGGUAAUACGUAGGGGGCAAGCGUUAUCCGGAUUUACUGGGUGUAAAGGGAGCGUAGACGGCUGUGCAAGCCAGAUGUGAAAGCCCGGGGCUCAACCCCGGGACUGCAUUUGGAACUGUGUGGCUGGAGUGUCGGAGAGGCAGGCGGAAUUCCUAGUGUAGCGGUGAAAUGCGUAGAUAUUAGGAGGAACACCAGUGGCGAAGGCGGCCUGCUGGACGAUGACUGACGUUGAGGCUCGAAAGCGUGGGGAGCAAACAGGAUUAGAUACCCGGGUAGUC
This 440-nucleotide ribosomal RNA is filed under the name uncultured bacterium. RNAcentral describes it as "partial 16S ribosomal RNA". It matches the Rfam family "Bacterial small subunit ribosomal RNA", at positions 338 to 795 of the family's 1533-position model. The record is from RNAcentral.